UAGCAUUAUUUCGUUGUUUUACAAGGACUUCAAAGCAAUCUCAGUCUCAAGGCUUGGAUGUAUGCAUAUUUCACAAUACCGCAUAAAUGAGCUGUUCCAUAGGAUGAUGAUCAUGACACUAGGGCGGACCUGUGCCUUAGAGACUAAAAAUGAAGAUAGAAUAGUUUAAUUAUGUCACGAACUCUUUGUUUUCCUGUUUAAAACAAUGUAUUACGCUUGUUUAAUAAAUAAAAUGUAACUUUGAUU
This 246-nucleotide long non-coding RNA is filed under the name Helianthus annuus (common sunflower). Its description in RNAcentral is "sRNA HanXRQr2_Chr15g0713151". Lineage: Eukaryota; Viridiplantae; Streptophyta; Magnoliopsida; Asterales; Asteraceae. The record is from RNAcentral.